GCAUUACUUCAUUUAAUCUCGAUAAUAAGCCUAUGAGGCAGGAUUCCAUUAUCGUCUCUAUUCUACAGAUGAGAAAACUCAGACCAGAGAGGCUAUGUAGAUCAUCCAUUGUUACACAACUAUGAAGUGGCAGAGCUGGAUUUUGAACCUGAGCUUAUCUGAGUUCAGAGUCCAUGCACGCAACUAACCAAUGGACUAUUUGCAAGUCAGGUCAUGGAAAGGCAUGAUAGCAUAGUGUGGCUCAAGGCACAGAGCAUAUGGAAAGCAGGAAUGACAGCUGCAGCUGAAUUACGGAGCAUCUUAUUGACUUGUAAGACAAUGAAAGCAAUGAAACCCAUCACACAGAAGUACUCCUACUUCCAUACCGUAGCCAGAGGGUUCACAAAAAUCCUGCAGAUGAAUAAAUUUUGAGUCUGCUGAGAGGAGGAGUGUCAGAGCCUGAACACUUGUCAAGAGAUUGAGAAGGGACAGGACAUACUGCUGGAUUGAAUGUGUAAAUCAUUCACCUCAGGGCAUGGAGGCCUCCUGUUUCUCCUGGCUUUCUCCAGCCACCUGGGUCCUGGCCUUGCUUCACUAACCCAAGCAUCCAUAAUAUUAGGACAAACACUUAUUCUACCCACUCCCUGACACAAUUGGGUAAAGGAGAAUUAAGGAACCAAAUCACUUAGCUGCUCAGAGAUAUUAUAACUAACGAUGAUUUUCCCAUGGCUUCCAUAUACUACUUGUAUCUCCUACCUCUGGACUUCGAGAUCGUUUAGAGUGAUACCUACCUUAUUAAACCAUCAUAUGUUUUAGCCAGUACUUUUCUCCAUUACUCUUAUUCUUUCCACCUUAACCUUAAAAAGGAUUCCUCAAAAUUUGUUAUGCAAAUUAUAUUUCUUAUUUUACAUUUUUGUUGUUGAGAUAUUAAUUUCAAAAAUAUUUUUCCUGUCAUUUACGGGGAUUUGGAGAGAAAAUCAGACAUGUGAGCCCAGUCUAUCUUUAGUCACUUUGCAUAGGAAUAGGCUAGCUAUGGACCUAUUUCCUCUCUCCCAACUAUAAUCCAAGCUGAAAUACAGAAACAAUUUUCUAAGAAGUGCCUCAUGCAGAUUUUUAAAUUGUGAGCAAAGUUGAGCAAUCCAUAAGAUGAUGGUUUGUGAAGAAUGUUCUGGGCCCAAAGGGAAGGAUUCUAAUAGACUAUAAAACAUGACCCACAAUUAUUUUUAAAAUUUGCUGAAUCUAGAUACAGUGCAGAAUGUACCAAAUUUUUAGAUGCUUUGUAGGCUGAUUGUCCUCAUGGAACAUUGAUUUAAGGGGCCUGUAUUUAGAGCUUCUAUUUAAAAAGAAUAAAGAAAGGCAUAAUUUUAAAAUUCA
RNAcentral lists this long non-coding RNA (1353 nucleotides) under Bos indicus x Bos taurus (hybrid cattle). Its description in RNAcentral is "lncRNA (ENSBIXG00005006833.1)". Lineage: Eukaryota; Metazoa; Chordata; Mammalia; Artiodactyla; Bovidae. The record is from RNAcentral.